CAAAGAAGGAAGCAUGACUAUGUACACGUAAAUUAAUCGGGUCGUCAUGUCUGCCCCCUCUGACUCUCUCAUGAUUCGGGGGCCUGGAUUAUACCCACAUCU
Daucus carota subsp. sativus is the source of this 102-nucleotide non-coding RNA. The record is from Rfam. Lineage: Eukaryota; Viridiplantae; Streptophyta; Magnoliopsida; Apiales; Apiaceae.